UUGCUGAUUUUGGCAGCACAUAUACUGACAUUGGAAUGAUACAGAGAAGAUCAGCGUGACCCCUGCGCAACGAUGACAUGGGAAUUUGUGAAGCGUUUCAUAUUUUU
Molecule: small nuclear RNA, 107 nt
Organism: Pan paniscus (pygmy chimpanzee)
Lineage: Eukaryota; Metazoa; Chordata; Mammalia; Primates; Hominidae
Source: Ensembl